UAGGGAAUCUUCCACAAUGGACGAAAGUCUGAUGGAGCAACGCCGCGUGAGUGAAGAAGGUUUUCGGAUCGUAAAACUCUGUUGUUGGAGAAGAACGUAUUUGAUGGUAACUGAUCAGGUAGUGACGGUAUCCAACCAGAAAGCCACGGCUAACUACGUGCCGG
This 164-nucleotide ribosomal RNA is filed under the name uncultured bacterium. Its description in RNAcentral is "partial 16S rRNA". It matches the Rfam family "Bacterial small subunit ribosomal RNA", at positions 355 to 511 of the family's 1533-position model. The record is from RNAcentral.